RNAcentral lists this long non-coding RNA (1727 nucleotides) under Nicotiana tabacum (common tobacco). RNAcentral's name for it is "long non-coding RNA (NTAB_LNC001382)". The record is from RNAcentral. Lineage: Eukaryota; Viridiplantae; Streptophyta; Magnoliopsida; Solanales; Solanaceae.
CCAUCAGCUAAGGAGCAGCAAUUCUCUAAUCAAGAUUCAAUUUGAAUUCAGCCACCAUCCUUUCUUAGCCAGUGCCAUUGUGAAAAGAUUUUGAAGAGUGUAACGUCUGCAUACAUCCAGACUCUACCUAUGGAAUCAUACUGAGUAUGUUGAUUUUACGAGAAAGAGUGUCUGGAAAAGUGUAAUUUCAUAGCUUAUUAGAAUACUAGAAUUAACAAAAAGACUAAGACAUUUCAAGAGGCAAUUCAUUUAUAUUUUACUUUUAGUUCAAGUCUUAUCCUGGUGAUUUGUGACAUAAACUAUCCAAAAUGCAACUCAAAUCGCCGGAUAAUCCAAAAGUUUUGAAGCAUUUACAAGAAUACAUAAAACCCUUAAAAGUAAUUAGUAGAACUUGAUGAAAUGAGUUAUGUGAAGUCAAGUUAUUUGGUAACUAAAUCUUGAUUAACUCUUACUUUGGUUAUCUUUGAAUGGCUAUUAGCAAUGCAAUACGAUAUUAAAAUGACCUUUUUCAUCUCCUAUUCUUUCUUUUCACCAUGGGUUUGCAUGUUCGAUAGAAUUCAGGGCUUCUGACUGAAUUUUAUAGGGGUGUACAUAGGUCGGGUUGGUUCGGAUUUUGCAAUUACCAAACCAAACCAAUUGUAUCGGGUUAUUAAAUCUAUAAACCAAACCAAACCAACCAAUAUCGGAUUUUUCAAUAUCGGGUUUUCUCGGGUUUCUCGGGUUUUUCGGAUUUUUUUUCUCGAUAAACUUGUGCUCCAAAUAUUUCUAUAGUCCUAAAUACAAUUUUACCGAUAACAACCAUGUCUUUAUUUUUUAGCGUUGACCUCAACUAUGCUAGUCAAUAGGUUAUAUGGUUCCACUUUAUAAAGGUCUCUACUUUAUAAAUUAUUUUUCACUUUACACCAAAAUGCUAAUAAAAGCUUAAAGCAAUUGACCUGUCCAACUUCAAUUGAACCUUAGAUAAACAAUUAGAAAGACCAGGUUGGAGUAUCAUGGACAAAUCAAUUGCUUUUAAGUAUUGUAAAAAGUCUAAUUUCUUUAAUUGUCAAAUCAACUGAACCUUAGAAAAAUAAUGUAAUACAAAAACUUCUUAAUCGACUAAAAAUCAUGCACCAACUUUCUUUUAAUUAAUUACCUUAAAGUAGUAAAGAUUUCAAAAAUAGUCAUGAAAUAAAUUGUAGUUAACUGUCCCUCUAAUCAAUUCUGAAAGGCGAGUCUGCAUAUUCUGAAAGAAAAGAAACAAUUAACAUAUUUAAUAUUAAGUAAUAUAAAAAAUAACUAUACUCAUUAAUAAUUGGAUAUAAAUUAUUACCUUCUUCAACUUGCUCAAUUUUCUGGACUUCCUCUAACAUAUCUUCAAACUUAUAUUCCUUGAAAAUACAUCAAUGUAAGAAAUACAUCACUCUUAAUUUUACAUAGUCCAUAUUAUUUAACCAAAUGAUUAAAAAUAUACGUAAAAAAGUUUCAAUAUAUUUUUAAGUAACAGUCAAUUACUCAUGUUAAUCAUCUAAGAGAAACAAAAUAAACAAAUGAAUUCGACAAUAGGGAGGAAUACAACAGAUUUGCAAAAAUAUUGCUAAUCUAAAUAAGAAAAAUCUUAGUUAAUUGGAAAAAACAAGGCGUAUGUAUGCAGCUAAAAGAAAACAUGUAAAAUAAGAAAGGGAAGAGCCUUACCGAUGAGAGCAAAAGAGAGUUGAUAGGGUUUGAGCUAAUUUUGGGGGGGGGGG